GGCCACGUAGCCAAGUGGUAAGGCAGGGGUCUGCAAAACCCUCAUCGUCGGUUCGAUUCCGACCGUGGCCUCCA
RNAcentral lists this transfer RNA (74 nucleotides) under Chloroflexota bacterium. Its description in RNAcentral is "Chloroflexi bacterium tRNA-Cys". It matches the Rfam family "tRNA". From Rfam's summary of the family: Transfer RNA (tRNA) molecules are approximately 80 nucleotides in length. The record is from RNAcentral. Lineage: Bacteria; Bacillati; Chloroflexota.